AGAUUUCACAGUUCAUUUUCUCUUCUUUUCUUUGAAAUAAUCCUUGAUUUUGAAUCUAAAGAUUGGAGGAUCUGGAGCCUUGAUUUUCAACCUGAAGAUUGGAGCAACGAGAAGAGAUUCAACUACGCGUCCCUUCUCACGAAUCCUUACAAUCUCUAUGUCUCUCCUUACCUUAGAUUCCCACCAGUUACACAACCAAAACUGUCAUCCAACACCUACGAGGCUACAAGAUGCCUGGCUCCGACGGAGUAAUCACCUUCCCAAACUUUACAUUGCUGCCCGGAUCUUUUGGGGCUGAGGAACUCCAUUAUGCAGAGCUUCCGGUCUCCAAUCUGCUAGGCGAAAGAGCUUCAGCAUGUAAAGCUUGCUGAUCCGGCUCAAGAAGUUGACAUAAGCACUUUGAUAUAGCAAAGUGAGCAAUGCUACUUGUGGUAAUUGAUAUGGUUAGGGAAUGGAUUGAAUUAAAUUGAUUUAUUACCUUGUUCGUGCCUAUUUUCUUAACUCAUAGCAUGCUUGCAGAAGAAUUUUGCUAGCUUCUGCAAUGACUAUUAUAUUUAUUGUUUUCAAUGAAUUAAGUUUGCACUUUACUUCCAAAUAACAUCAUUUACAGUGUUCUUUUGUAUGUGAUAAUUGUGCAUCAGCAACAGGUCAAUCUUUUGAGAAUAAUGAUAGAGUAGUGAACUCCUACAUUUCAGGUGCAUGGUCAAGGUUUAAGAACUACCAAGAGUAUUAUAGAUAAGGCUAAACAUGGCAG
RNAcentral lists this long non-coding RNA (754 nucleotides) under Linum usitatissimum (flax). RNAcentral describes it as "long non-coding RNA (LUSI_LNC007935)". The record is from RNAcentral. Lineage: Eukaryota; Viridiplantae; Streptophyta; Magnoliopsida; Malpighiales; Linaceae.